This 74-nucleotide microRNA precursor is filed under the name Bombyx mori (domestic silkworm). RNAcentral describes it as "mir-2774 microRNA precursor family". It matches the Rfam family "mir-2774 microRNA precursor family". The record is from Rfam by way of RNAcentral. Lineage: Eukaryota; Metazoa; Arthropoda; Insecta; Lepidoptera; Bombycidae.
ACAACAUUCGGACCGUCGGCGUCGGUCUACCGAACAUUAUCACACGCUCGGUGGAAGAUCUUUCCCUCCGUCGU